CAAACCAAAGCUGGCGACCGGCGCACGGGUGAGUAACACGUAUCCAACCUGCCUCAUACUCGGGGAUAGCCUUUCGAAAGAAAGAUUAAUAUCCGAUAGCAUAUAUUUCCCGCAUGGGUUUUAUAUUAAAGAAAUUCGGUAUGAGAUGGGGAUGCGUUCCAUUAGUUUGUUGGGGGGGUAACGGCCCACCAAGCUACGAUGGAUAGGGGUUCUGAGAGGAAGGUCCCCCACAUUGGAACUGAGACACGGUCCAA
RNAcentral lists this ribosomal RNA (254 nucleotides) under uncultured bacterium. RNAcentral describes it as "partial 16S ribosomal RNA". It matches the Rfam family "Bacterial small subunit ribosomal RNA", at positions 74 to 334 of the family's 1533-position model. The record is from RNAcentral.